CCUACGGGUGACAGCAGUGGUGGAUAUUGCACAAUGGGGGAAACCCUGAUGCAGCGACGCCGCGUGGGCGAAGAAGUAUUUCGGUAUGUAAAGCCCUAUCAGCAGGGACGAAGAACUCACUGUACCUGCGUCAGUAGCACCGGCUAAAUACUUUCCAGCAGCCGCGGUAAUACGUAUGGUGCAAGCGUUAUCCGGAUUUACUGGGUGUAAAGGGAGCGCAGGCGGCACGGCAACCCUGGGGUGAAAGCCCGCGGCCCAACCGCGGGACUGCAUUGGGAACUACCGGGCUGGAGUGCCGGAGAGGUAGGCGGAAUUCCUGGUGUAGCGGGGAAAGGCGUAGAUAUUAGGAGGAACACCAGUGGCGAAGGCGGCCUACUGGACGGUGACUGACGCUGAGGCUCGAAAGCGUGGGGAGCAAACAGGAUUAGAUACCCCGGUAGUC
RNAcentral lists this ribosomal RNA (442 nucleotides) under uncultured bacterium. RNAcentral's name for it is "partial 16S ribosomal RNA". It matches the Rfam family "Bacterial small subunit ribosomal RNA", at positions 338 to 795 of the family's 1533-position model. The record is from RNAcentral.